GAUGAACGCUGGCGGCGUGCUUAACACAUGCAAGUCGAACGGAAAGGCCCUGCUCUUGUGGGGUUCUUGAGUGGCGAACGGGUGAGUAACACGCGAGUAUCAUGCCCUUGUCUUUGGGAUAACUCUAGGAAACUGGGGCUAUUACCGGAUAGGAGCUUCUGCUGCAUGGUGGGGGUUGGAAAGUUUCGGCGGUUGGGGAUGGACUCGCGGGUUAUGAGCUUGUUGGUGGGGUAGUGGCUUACCAGGGUUUUGACGGGUAGCCGGCCUGAGAGGGUGACCGGCCACAUUGGGACUGAGAUACGGACCAGACUGCUACGGGAGGCAGCAGGGGGGAAUAUUGCAGAAUGGGCGGAAGCCUGAUGCAGCGACGCCGCGUGCGGGAUGACGGGCUUCGAGUGGUAAACCGCUUUCGCCUGUGACGAAGCGAGAGUGACGGUACUGGGUAAAGAAGCACCGGCUAACUACGUG
This 468-nucleotide ribosomal RNA is filed under the name uncultured bacterium. Its description in RNAcentral is "partial 16S ribosomal RNA". It matches the Rfam family "Bacterial small subunit ribosomal RNA", at positions 28 to 507 of the family's 1533-position model. The record is from RNAcentral.